UACAAGUCAAAAAUAUUAAGAGAUGCCUUGUCCCCUCUGCAAAGGAACGUGGAAAAGUUUCAUAUGGAUGAAGAAUCUAUCUUCAAAAACAGAUAUACAUUAAAAAUCAAUUCUUCCAUUCAUGCUUUCUAUCCCUUUCACAUGGUCAAGAAAUUAAUAAAUUCCACGGCCCCAACACCAGACCACCACUACACCAAGAUUAAUACCUCAAAAGCAGCGGAGUAGAAUAUUAAAAAUCUAUAUACUCUGUGACAAACCUUCCUUCCUUUUUUGGUGACCGUGGUGAGACUUUUUAUCCAGUUGAUCAAAUGAAAGAUGAAGUUAAACAGAGGCUUUUCUUAAUUAACAUAGAUAUAUAUAAAACAUGUUGUGGGUUUACAGCUACGUUAAUUGUGCAGUUCUAGAUAUUCCAAUCUCAAGAAGACCACUUUAUUAUUAGAUAUGUAAUGAAAGGUCCUGCUCCUGCUGCAACUCUUGUUAGAUUAUGUUGGGGCUUUCAACAGAGAUCGGCUUGUAUUAAGCUAGUGUGGUCCUGUUCUCACCAACACCAAACUCAUCAGUUGCUUUCAUCAAAUUACAGACAAAAAAUACAACAAUAUACACAUUACAUACAUACCAUCUUUCAUUUCUGUCAGCUUAUUCACAAAUUCAAAACAUGUCUUCUCUUCAGUGCCUGUUUGCGUUGGCGGGGUGUAGCUUUUCCACCGUUAUUAGAAUAGAAAAGUCUUUUUCUUCAGAGCAAAAGCAUUUUUUUUAUGCGUUUUUCCAAGCUGUAUAAAAGAAAGUGCUUUUCGAAUAUUUUGGCACAAGUUGAAAGACAACUUUUAACCAAGUUUCUUUUCUGUUAACUAAAAUAUCAUCUAUGCACUUCCG
This 873-nucleotide long non-coding RNA is filed under the name Prunus persica (peach). Its description in RNAcentral is "long non-coding RNA (PPER_LNC002834)". The record is from RNAcentral. Lineage: Eukaryota; Viridiplantae; Streptophyta; Magnoliopsida; Rosales; Rosaceae.